AGAGUUUGAUCCUGGCUCAGAACGAACGCUGGCGGCACGCCUAACACAUGCAAGUCGAGCGCAGUCCUUCGGGACCGAGCGGCGGACGGGUUAGUAACGCGUGGGAAUAUACCCAUCACUAAGGAAUAGCCUCGGGAAACUGAGAGUAAUACCUUAUACGCCCUUCGGGGGAAAGAUUUAUCGGUGAUGGAUUAGCCCGCGUAAGAUUAGAUAGUUGGUGGGGUAACGGCCUACCAAGUCGACGAUCUUUAGCUGGUUUGAGAGGAUGAUCAGCAACACUGGGACUGAGACACGGCCCGGACUCCUACGGGAGGCAGCAGUGGGGAAUAUUGGACAAUGGGCGCAAGCCUGAUCCAGCAAUGCCGCGUGUGUGAAGAAGGCCCGAGGGUUGUAAAGCACUUUCAAUUGUGAAGAAGGGUAUAAGAUUAAUACUCUUGUACUUUGACGUUAACUUUAGAAGAAGCACCGGCUAACUCUGUGCCAGCAGCCGCGGUAAUACAGAGGGUGCGAGCGUUAAUCGGAAUUACUGGGCGUAAAGCGCGCGUAGGCGGCUGAUUAAGUCAGAUGUGAAAUCCCCAGGCUCAACCUGGGAACUGCAUCUGAUACUGGUCAGCUAGAGUUUAGGAGAGGGAAGUAGAAUUUCAGGUGUAGCGGUGAAAUGCAUAGAGAUCUGAAGGAAUACCAGUGGCGAAGGCGACUUCCUGGCCUAAAACUGACGCUGAGGUGCGAAAGCAUGGGGAGCAAACAGGAUUAGAUACCCUGGUAGUCCAUGCCGUAAACGAUGUCAACUAGGCGUUGGGGCGGUUAAUCGUCUCAUUGCCGGAGCUAACGCAUUAAGUUGACCGCCUGGGGAGUACGGUCGCAAGAUUAAAACUCAAAGGAAUUGACGGGGGCCCGCACAAGCGGU
This 907-nucleotide ribosomal RNA is filed under the name uncultured Gammaproteobacteria bacterium. RNAcentral describes it as "bacterial SSU rRNA". It matches the Rfam family "Bacterial small subunit ribosomal RNA", at positions 8 to 933 of the family's 1533-position model. The record is from RNAcentral. Lineage: Bacteria; Pseudomonadati; Pseudomonadota; Gammaproteobacteria.